This 474-nucleotide ribosomal RNA is filed under the name Escherichia coli. RNAcentral describes it as "bacterial SSU rRNA". It matches the Rfam family "Bacterial small subunit ribosomal RNA", at positions 1 to 471 of the family's 1533-position model. The record is from RNAcentral. Lineage: Bacteria; Pseudomonadati; Pseudomonadota; Gammaproteobacteria; Enterobacterales; Enterobacteriaceae.
AAAUUGAAGAGUUUGAUCAUGGCUCAGAUUGAACGCUGGCGGCAGGCCUAACACAUGCAAGUCGAACGGUAACAGGAAACAGCUUGCUGUUUCGCUGACGAGUGGCGGACGGGUGAGUAAUGUCUGGGAAACUGCCUGAUGGAGGGGGAUAACUACUGGAAACGGUAGCUAAUACCGCAUAACGUCGCAAGACCAAAGAGGGGGACCUUCGGGCCUCUUGCCAUCGGAUGUGCCCAGAUGGGAUUAGCUAGUAGGUGGGGUAACGGCUCACCUAGGCGACGAUCCCUAGCUGGUCUGAGAGGAUGACCAGCCACACUGGAACUGAGACACGGUCCAGACUCCUACGGGAGGCAGCAGUGGGGAAUAUUGCACAAUGGGCGCAAGCCUGAUGCAGCCAUGCCGCGUGUAUGAAGAAGGCCUUCGGGUUGUAAAGUACUUUCAGCGGGGAGGAAGGGAGUAAAGUUAAUACCUUUA